UACGGAGGGGGCUAGCGUUGUUCGGAAUUACUGGGCGUAAAGCGCACGUAGGCGGACCAUCAAGUUGGGGGUGAAAUCCCGGGGCUCAACCCCGGAACUGCCUCCAAAACUGGCGGUCUGGAGUCCGAGAGAGGUGAGUGGAAUUCCGAGUGUAGAGGUGAAAUUCGUAGAUAUUCGGAGGAACACCAGUGGCGAAGGCGGCUCACUGGCUCGGUACUGACGCUGAGGUGCGAAAGCGUGGGGAGCAAACAGGAUUAGAUACCCCGGUAGUCCCUGAGCGGGCU
RNAcentral lists this ribosomal RNA (284 nucleotides) under uncultured prokaryote. RNAcentral's name for it is "partial 16S ribosomal RNA". It matches the Rfam family "Bacterial small subunit ribosomal RNA", at positions 524 to 817 of the family's 1533-position model. The record is from RNAcentral.